CAAUCCCACCCGGAUUCGAACUCUUCCAGCUGGGUGAUGAGAACUCAUCCGUCGUCAUCCACCGGAGAUCCCAGACCCAGCACCAUGUGCUGGGAAGGGGAGCCCAGAGGAGGCCUGGGCGAGCAGCAAAGCUUCCCUGAAGUCACGUCUGAGCUGAGAGCUGAGCAGCAGCCUGACCUGACCAUGCAAGGAGUGGAUGGCAGUUCCGAGUCGAUGGAGCAGUG
RNAcentral lists this long non-coding RNA (224 nucleotides) under Homo sapiens (human). RNAcentral describes it as "HSALNT0156438". The record is from RNAcentral. Lineage: Eukaryota; Metazoa; Chordata; Mammalia; Primates; Hominidae.